CAAGCGGUGGAGUAUGUUGUUUAAUUCGAAGAUACACGAAGAACCUUUACCAGGUCUUGACAUACCAUUGACAGGCGCAGAGAUGUGCUCUUCUUCGGACAAUGGAUACAGGUGGUGCAUGGUUGUCGUCAGCUCGUGCCGUGAGGUGUUGGGUUAAGUCCCGCAACGAGCGCAACCCCUAUUGCUAGUUACUAACAUUCAGUUGAGGACUCUAGUGAGACUGCCAGUGACAAACUGGAGGAAGGUGGGGGUGACGUCAAAUCAUCAUGCCCUUUAUGACCUGGGCUACAAACGUACUACAAUGGCCAAUACAAAGAGAUGCGAAGUUGUGAGAUGGAGCGAACCUCAAAAAAUGGUCUCAGUUCAGAUUGAAGUCUGCAACUCGACUUCAUGAAGGCGGAAUCGCUAGUAAUCGCGGGUCAGCAGACCGCGGUGAAUACGUUCCCGGGUUUU
This 453-nucleotide ribosomal RNA is filed under the name uncultured Bacillota bacterium. Its description in RNAcentral is "bacterial SSU rRNA". It matches the Rfam family "Bacterial small subunit ribosomal RNA", at positions 926 to 1382 of the family's 1533-position model. The record is from RNAcentral. Lineage: Bacteria; Bacillati; Bacillota.